GACGAACGCUGGCGGCGCGCCUAACACAUGCAAGUCGAACGGUGAAGAGGAGCUUGCUCCUCGGAACAGUGGCGGACGGGUGAGUAACACGUGAGCAACCUGGCUCUAAGAGGGGGACAACAGUUGGAAACGACUGCUAAUACCGCAUGACGUAUCGGGAUGGCAUCUUCCUGAUACCAAAGAUUUUAUCGCUUAGAGAUGGGCUCGCGUCUGAUUAGAUAGUUGGUGGGGUAACGGCCCACCAAGUCGACGAUCAGUAGCCGGACUGAGAGGUUGAACGGCCACAUUGGGACUGAGACACGGACCAGACUCCUACGCGAGGCAGCAGUGGGGGAUAUUGGACAAUGGGGGCAACCCUGAUCCAGCGACGCCGCGUGAGGGAAGAAGGUUUUCGGAUUGUAAACCUCUGUUGACGGAGAAAAAAAUGAUGGUAUCCGUUUAGAAAGCCACGGCUAACUACGUG
RNAcentral lists this ribosomal RNA (463 nucleotides) under uncultured bacterium. RNAcentral describes it as "partial 16S ribosomal RNA". It matches the Rfam family "Bacterial small subunit ribosomal RNA", at positions 28 to 507 of the family's 1533-position model. The record is from RNAcentral.